AGUGGGCAAGCAUGUGACACGCUUGCAAACGUGCGAUCACCUGCAAAGUAACGCGCAACAGCAUAGCGAUCACGGCUACAGGGAGUGCUGCUGUCAAUUUAGGCCAGGAUCGAUUAACAGUAAAAACAACCUCCCUCCCAAUCACGGAAGAAAACAAUCUGCUAGUGGUUUGUUGCCAGUAUUUGCCCAAAACUGCUCCCUAAAAUCAAUAACAUCCUUUUUCCCGACGGACGGAUGAUAAUAAAACUGCCAUUUGCAAUCAAUCAUCUUUUUCGCUCGCCUCCAUUCGCCCCACGCCCGCACCCACACCAACCAACCAACCAACCACCAACAAAGUAUUCUCGCGUGGGACACAGCAUUCCUUCGCAUUUAAUUCCCCCAUCCACUGCAACACCGUCGGGCUGUAGCCUACCCACGCCACGGAGGGAAAAAAGGGAGCCACAGGGAACCUUUUGCUUGAUUUAAUUAUAGGAUAUCUCGAUCGCAAUCCUACACGCCCGGUUUUCGAUUGCAGCGGCAAAAGCUAACGAACCUUGGGAUGAGGGACGAGCGGAGUGGAGCCGAUGCAUUCGAGGAGGGGAGGGAGAGAGAGAGAGAGAGAGAGAGAGUGCGCGCAAGAAGGGAAAGAAUGAGAACGUGCGUUAGAUUGACCCAUUAAAUGGGUUUUUAUUUUUAUCACACCGUCGUUGGUGUAAGUGUGUUCAGCGAACACGAAAAGGUGGAAAGAAGGUAGGAUACAGCUAAAGAUUAAGUGUUUCCUAUUAGGUUAAGAGGCUUCAUCGCCAGAUUACGCAACCAAGAAAAAAUAGUUUUUUAUAGAGUUUUUGGGGAAAAACAUAAGCUUUUUUUGCUAAGCUUUUAUUGAAGUAAAUCAAAGUAAAAGACAAUAUUUAAAAUUCUUUAUCGAAAGACAACAUUUUCAUUCAUAUCAACCCGGAAAAACAACAAGAGGAUCACUUGAAUCAAAUAAAAAUUUACCGAAGUAAAUAAAAGACCCGGUUUACAUUACAAAAAACAACGGGCGACACGCUCGUUAAUUAGCUCGUUAAUGUCAUUUCUGGCUUGAUUUUUUUUUUCUUUUUUUAAAUUGUUCUCCUCCCCGCAAUAUUGCAAACAAAUUUCAAUUCAAAAUAAAAAGCACCUUUUCUCCCA
This is a long non-coding RNA of Anopheles gambiae (African malaria mosquito), 1152 nucleotides long. RefSeq lists it as uncharacterized. The record is from RefSeq and is a predicted model, not a curated record. Lineage: Eukaryota; Metazoa; Arthropoda; Insecta; Diptera; Culicidae. The transcript has 2 exons.